This 500-nucleotide ribosomal RNA is filed under the name uncultured bacterium. RNAcentral describes it as "partial 16S ribosomal RNA". It matches the Rfam family "Bacterial small subunit ribosomal RNA", at positions 30 to 523 of the family's 1533-position model. The record is from RNAcentral.
AUUGAACGCUGGCGGAAUGCUUUACACAUGCAAGUCGAACGGCAGCACGGACUUCGGUCUGGUGGCGAGUGGCGAACGGGUGAGUAAUGUAUCGGAACGUGCCCAGUCGUGGGGGAUAACGUAGUGAAAAUUACGCUAAUACCGCAUACGAUCUAUGGAUGAAAGCGGGGGAUCGCAAGACCUCGCGCGAUUGGAGAGGCCGAUAUCAGAUUAGGUAGGUGGUGGGGUAAAGGGCCACAAAGCCAACGAUCUGUAGCUGGUCUGAGAGGACGACCAGCCCAACUGGAACUGAGACACGGUCCAGACUCCUACGGGAGGCAGCCGUGGGGAAUUUUGGACAAUGGGCGAAAGCCUGAUCCAGCCAUUCCGCGUGCAGGAUGAAGGCCCUCGGGUUGUAAACUGCUUUUGUACAGAACGAAAAGGUUUCUACUAAUACUAGGAGCUCAUGACGGUACUGUAAGAAUAAGCACCGGCUAACUACGUGCCAGCCGCCGCAGUAA